This is a long non-coding RNA of Nycticebus coucang (slow loris), 2864 nucleotides long. RefSeq lists it as uncharacterized. The transcript has 3 exons. Lineage: Eukaryota; Metazoa; Chordata; Mammalia; Primates; Lorisidae. The record is from RefSeq and is a predicted model, not a curated record.
GGAAAAAUACAGUAGUUUGUGUGUCAUCAGUUCAACUUGUAUAGGUGAUCUCUGAGUUUUCAUUUUUGAAAAUAGAGAUGUCAUUUUAUUUUCCAUGAAAGUUUGUCCCCUUGUAAUAUGAUUCCAUUUAUAUAAAGUUCAGGAAGAGGCAAAACUAAAGUAUGUUGUGUAUGACUGAAAUAUAACAGGUAAAACUAUAUUUUGAAAACAAGGAAAUUACUAUAAAAGUUAAGAUAGUGGUUAUCUUCAGAGGUCCGAGAGAGGGUUGUGAUUGGAAAGGGCCACACGAGCUUCUGGAUGCUCAUGGUACUCUUUCUUGACGUAAUGAUAUUACAUGGGUACCUGCUUUACAAUUAUUCAAACUGAACAUUUAAGUUAUAUGCAUUUUAUGCACAUUGUAUUUCUCAAAAAAAAAAAAAAAACAACAACAUUUUUUAAAUGGGGGGAAAGCCUACUGACUUCACUUGUAGCCUGACAUAGGUCCAUGUGGGGCUUUAAUAAUAACAUUUGGGGCUCGGUGCCUGUAGCUCAAGAGGCUAAGGCGCCCGACACAUACACCCGAGCUGGCAGGUUCAAAUCCAGCCUGGGCCUGCCAAACAACAAUGACAACUACCACCAAAAAGUAACUGGGCGUUGUUGCGGGCACCUGUUCUCCCAGCUACUUGGGAGACUGAGGCAAGAGAAUCUCUUAAGUCCAGGAGUUGGAGGUUGCUGUGAGCUGUGACGCCACAGUACUCUACCCAGGAUGACAGCUUGAGGCUCUGUCUCAAAAAAAGCAACAACAACAACAACAACAAAAAAAAAAUUGGGGGGAAAGAGAUGAGGAAAUGGCAGUUCUGCUGGUCUUAAAUUAGAACAAGAGUUGGGUUCUAACAGGUAUUUUGUGAUCUAGAGAGUAGGUAUUAAAUAUACGAUUUGGUGGGAAUAGUGGGUAGGGGUGUGUGUGUGUAGAGAUCGGACACAAAAGGAAAAUGUGAAGAAAGGUUUGAAUGAAAACAAAGCAGAUGUUGCCACCUUGAAAUUAAAUAAGAAUGAGUGUAUUCAAUUGGCACCAUUACCCAGGUUUCCUCCACAGAUAGGAGUUAGUCCUAUAUGGCAAAUUGUUUGCAUUUUUAUUUAGAAAUAACCUCUUCCUUUACACUGUUGGUGGGACUGCAAACUAAUUCUACCUCUUUGGAAAGAAGUAUGGAGAAUCCUCAAAGAACUCAAAUUAGAUCUCCCAUUUGAUUCCUCAAAUCCCACUGUUAGUCAUGUAUUCAGAAGAAAAAAAAACAUCAUUCUAUCUUCAAGCCAUUUGUACUAUGUUGUUUAUCGCAGCUCAAUUUACAAUUGGCAAAAUGUGAAAACAAUCUAAAUGCCACCAACCAGGAAUGGAUAUACCAAACUGUGGUAUAUGUAUACCAUGGAAUACUAUUCAGCCAUUAAAAAAGAUGGGGACAUUACAUCUUUUGUAUUAAUCUGGAUGGAAUUGAAACACAUUCUUCUUAGUAAAGUAUCACAGAGUAGAGAAGCAAGAAUCCAAGGUACUCAAUACUAACAUGGGGCCAGUAGAUAAUCUGAUACAUUCCCACAUAAGAGAAAAACUCAAAUCAAUUCAAGGUCUGGGAUGGGGAAAGAGGGAGCAGGGAGAGGGGAAGGAGGAGGAUGGAGGUGCUCACACUCAAUGGGCCCAAUGUUCGAGUGCAUGGCACACUUCUUGGGGGCAGUACACAAUUAUAAGAGGAACUCUACCUAACUAAUGCAAACAUUGUAACCUAUUUCGUGUGCCCUCAGAUUAACCCGAAACAAUAAUAAAAUCUUAAAAAAGAAAUAACAAAUAACCUUAUCCUUUUUCAGAAUUCUCAGUGAAAAUCAUAUGACCGAAUUACAUAAAGAUUCAUUUGAAGGCCUGCUAUCCCUCCAGUAUUUAGAUUUAUCCUGCAAUAAAAUCCAAUUUAUUGAAAGACGUACCUUUGAAUCACUACCAUUUCUGCAGUAUGUAAAUCUUGGUUGCAAUUUAAUCACUGAACUGAGCUUCGGAACGUUUCAGGCGUGGCAUGGAAUGCAAUUUUUACACAAGGUGUAAGUGAAAUAGAUGAACACAUAAAAAGCUAUGUGUAAAAGCAUCAUUCAGUUAUCAGUUAACUAGGUAUCAGCUCAUUAUGAACUCUGAAUAGCAUAUCUUAAGAUCUAUCCAAUUUUUCUUUUUUAAUUUUUUUUAAAGUUAUAUUUAUAUUUCAGAGAAAGGAUCCAUCCAUUUUUUUCAGGUGAGGAAACUAAGGGACAAAGGGGCCAGGAGACUUGUGUAACUUCCAUAUGACAUGCUCUGCUUUCCCUAGAAAUGAUCUUUGGUAUGGGUGAUAAAAGAUGUCAAGCAAGUAAUGCUCAAAUUAGCAUUGUCUUGGGAGCCCUAGCAAUGCUGCUUUGAUAUGUGAAUUGUCCUUGAAAUCCUACGUUUGAAUAUAACUUUGAUUCCUACUCAUGUACGGUUUCUAACCGCUGAAAUGUAUACAGUAUACAGCCACAAAGAAGGAAGCGUAACACAAAGUCCUCCAGGGUGCAAAAGGGGAAGGAUGUUUUGUCGGAGUCAGUUUCUUUUAGUUUUCUAUUUAUUUAUUUAUUUAUUUUUUGAUAGAGACAGAGUCUUACUUUAUUGCCCUCGGUAGAGUGCUGUGGCAUCACACUGCUCACAGCAACCUCCAACUCCUGAGUUUAGGUGAUUGUCUUGCCUCAGCCUCCCAAGUACCUGUGACCACAGGCCCACGCCACAACGCCUGGCUCUUUAUUUUUGUUGCAGUUUGGCCGGGGCUGGGUUUGAACCCGCGACCCUUGGUGUAUGGGCCCCAUGCCCUACGCACUGAGCCACUGGUGCCACCCAGAGUCAG